Molecule: non-coding RNA, 119 nt
Filed under: Muricoccus roseus
Lineage: Bacteria; Pseudomonadati; Pseudomonadota; Alphaproteobacteria; Acetobacterales; Roseomonadaceae
Description: Roseomonas rosea TPP sequence
Rfam family: TPP riboswitch aptamer (THI element)
About the family: Vitamin B(1) in its active form thiamin pyrophosphate (TPP) is an essential coenzyme that is synthesised by coupling of pyrimidine and thiazole moieties in bacteria.
Source: Rfam by way of RNAcentral
GCGCCUCACCCGGGGGGUCCCGUCAAGGGGCUGAGAUACGGCUGGCCGAGAGGCAGCGCCGUGACCCGAUGAACCUGAUCCAGUUCAUGCUGGCGUAGGGACGGUGCGGCUGCCUGAAG